Molecule: ribosomal RNA, 253 nt
Filed under: uncultured bacterium
Lineage: Bacteria
Description: partial 16S ribosomal RNA
Rfam family: Bacterial small subunit ribosomal RNA
Source: RNAcentral
UACGAAGGGUCCAAGCGUUGUUCGGAAUUACUGGGCGUAAAGCGCGCGUAGGCGGGCUUAUAAGUCGAUUGUGAAAUCCCUGGGCUUAACCUGGGAACUGCAGUCGAAACUGUAAGCCUUGAAUGUCUGAGAGGAUGGCGGAAUAACCGGUGUAGUAGUGAAAUACGUAGAUAUCGGUUAGAACACCUGAGGCGAAGGCGGCUAUCUGGCGGAACAUUGACGCUGAGGCGCGAAAGCGUGGGGAGCAAACAGG